AUGGAUGGCGAGCACGAACUCACCUUGACAUUUUCAACAAUUUCGGUAAACAUUAUUCUUUUGUUAAUUAUGAACGUUUGCGAGUAUAUAAGUUUCUUUUAGUUUAUUUCGAUGUUGCAUACAAAUAAUUGUAAAACAACGGUAUAACAUAAUUAACUAUUUAACGAUUAUAAAAUAAAUAAUAUUAAUAUUGUUGUAUCAUCGAAGAACAACUAAUGGAAAUUAACAAUUUGUCAGGCAUAUUAUUUAAAUAAUACCCAGAAUUACCAGGAGAGAUUUCAUUCCUAUACAGUAACAUUUUGGCGUUCUUGUUUUGAGGUUAAGUACAAAGGAGAUAUACGGAGGCAAAUAAUUCUCAUGGCCUGAGUUGCUCACAAUGACACCGUUUCGCCUCGCACAAUCGCACGGUUUUUUCAGCACAGCAAAGAAUCCUGUAGUCGUUUGUUAGACUUAGCGUUAACCACGGAUCUCUGAAUAAAUUGGUGGAAUACGCUGUACCCAUGGAAAAGAAUUUUUAAACAAAGGAUUUCCUCUCUCAUAAUAUCAUCAAAAGAGGAGCAUCGUUAAAUUCUAUUUUAUUUCUUUUUCCUUCUUGUUUUUUAAACGCCCUGAACGUGCAAUAUUUUUCACGGGGAUUUAUGAAGUCUAAAAUACGUUUAGGAAGACUGACAGUAUAAAUUCGUUGUAAAUUGCCAUCGAGAUGAAUCGACUCUCGUUGAACUCUGACGGUGUUCUUCUCACCACGAUGCACAGCCUGAUUCCCCAUAUAAGAAAUAUAACCUCAACUGGAA
This is a long non-coding RNA of Bombus huntii, 791 nucleotides long. RefSeq lists it as uncharacterized. The record is from RefSeq and is a predicted model, not a curated record. Lineage: Eukaryota; Metazoa; Arthropoda; Insecta; Hymenoptera; Apidae. The transcript is spliced from 3 exons.